This 29-nucleotide small RNA is filed under the name Bombyx mori (domestic silkworm). RNAcentral's name for it is "ovarian small RNA-29974". The record is from RNAcentral. Lineage: Eukaryota; Metazoa; Arthropoda; Insecta; Lepidoptera; Bombycidae.
UCUGCGAAUUACCGCUCUUGCUAGGGCCU